Brassica oleracea var. oleracea is the source of this 119-nucleotide ribosomal RNA. The record is from Rfam. Lineage: Eukaryota; Viridiplantae; Streptophyta; Magnoliopsida; Brassicales; Brassicaceae.
GGGUGCGAUCGUACCAACACUAAUGCACCGGAUCCCAUCAGGACUCCGCAGUUAAGCGUGCAUGGGCGAGAGUAGUACUAGGAUGGGUGACCUCCCGGGAAGUCCUCGUGUUGCACCCC